UAUGUUUGUGAUAGAAAACGAAACUAAACUUUGUCUAAGGCUAGAGGAGAGCAGGGCACAAACUAACGCGGGGUUAGUUGUCACACACGUGGUUUAAACGUUUCCACACACGCUGAACAAACAGAAUGUUGAGCUUUGGUUCCUCGCAAGGUUUCUUUCCUUCUCUGAGAGUUUCUUCACUGCCACAGUUUGCUCACUGGAGAACUUUUAAUGCUUCAUGGGGUUGUAGUUCCUUCUUUAACCCUAUAACGCCAUGUGCAUCAAAUAUGAUACACAACGUUUGACGGAUCCUGUUUCAUUCUCUGUUGAAGCUGACGAGCCAAACAAUGAAAGAUGUUUGAAGUCAUUUGCCUUCAAGUUCACACAGGUGUCCAAGCAGAUGAACAACAGGUGGAGUUCAGCUCAUUAACUAUCAACAUGAGACACUAGCACAUUGAUAAACACAAAGUGUCACAAUAAUGCAUGUCUUCUAUUUCAACACUAGAUUUAUCAUUACAAUUACAAAUGUUUCAGAAUAGUCUACUUGUAUAAACAGAAAAUGAGAGCGUUCUCUGAGCGUACAAUGCAAACAGUGGCUAACAUUGUCUGCUCAUGUGUGCUUCAAUUUCCCUGAAAGAUGGCACAAGAGUGCGAGUAAAGUGAGAAAAUGAGACUUUUCUAAUACUUUUCCAUAGGUCUCAGCUAAAGGGAGAGAAUUAUGUUUGGUGUGAUGCCUUUAAUGUUUUUUACGGUUAUAAUCUUUAGCAGUUACGGUAUUAAAAAUCACUUGAGACUGCCAGAUUUCUCUCUCUCAGACUAAGACAAGUGCAGCUCUGUGGUGUGUGUGUGUGUGUGUGUGUGUGUGUGCCUCCUGUUUGGCAGAAAUUGGCCGGGACAGUCACAAUUACCCUGUGGCCGACCGAAGCAUUUCCUGGCCAAACCACAUUCACCUCCUUCUGUAUUGAGAAGAUCAGAGACGUCUGCAGGUGAGACGGACAGAACAGUGACGCAGAAAACAGCUGCAGGUCCCUCUGGAACACCUGUCGCCAUGACACACACACGCCAGUGAAGAGAGGGAAUUAGAAGGGGGAAAAAGAAAAAGAGACCAAAAACAGCCAUUUAUUUACUUUUCAGCUGCGUGUCUGUGGUAACACCUCUGCCAGCACACAGAGAGAGAGACGGGCAUAAAAGAGAGGAGCUGACAGGGACUGAAAACAUUCCAAGGAACGAAAACCAAAAGCAAACACAUUUUUUUUUACAGAACAUAACCGAAAACGGGAACACUUUCAAUUGUUACUGAGUGAAAACUUUAUUUUAAAUGUUGGUAACUGGUUAAUAAAAAUGUUUUUUCC
This is a long non-coding RNA of Myxocyprinus asiaticus (Chinese sucker), 1331 nucleotides long. RefSeq lists it as uncharacterized. The transcript has 7 exons. NCBI's taxonomy places the organism in Eukaryota, Metazoa, Chordata, Actinopteri, Cypriniformes, Catostomidae. The record is from RefSeq and is a predicted model, not a curated record.